GUAAAAUGCUGCGUAGCAUAUCGUUUAUUUGGAAAGAAGGUGAGAUGAGAGGGAUGAGUUGGUCGCUUACCAUAUACUCCAUGUUGGCUGCAGUGAUAUUGGUUCCGGCGAGCGUUUCGGUCGCGUUUCUGAUAAUCCAAGCGCUCGCAUCACUGGCUAUGAAUAGAAGCAGCACGUCGGUAAAAAAGUUGAUGCUCUUCAUCCCUUUUUUGGUUCAUAUACGUUUUCUGCAUCACCAUCGUACCGUUGAAUUGUUCGUAUCUGUUUUGAGCGUGCGGUGAAGCAGCAGCUCCGUGAGUCUCAGUUAUCCUGAUGGAGAUCUCUCAUCCUGUCCACUGCUG
Molecule: long non-coding RNA, 341 nt
Organism: Puntigrus tetrazona (Sumatra barb)
Lineage: Eukaryota; Metazoa; Chordata; Actinopteri; Cypriniformes; Cyprinidae
Exons: 3
Source: RefSeq, a predicted model, not a curated record